RNAcentral lists this unclassified non-coding RNA (13098 nucleotides) under Hevea brasiliensis (rubber tree). The record is from RNAcentral. Lineage: Eukaryota; Viridiplantae; Streptophyta; Magnoliopsida; Malpighiales; Euphorbiaceae.
AAAAGAUCCUCUUUGAUGAAUCACUUUCCACUUUCCCUUGCAUGCAACGCAAUCUCCUAAAUCCACCGCCUCAUUGAUUUUCCUUUUCUCCCUCAGUCCCUCUCUCCCAUAAACACUUUCCUCUCUCCUCUCCUUUUUCCUCUAUCUUUCAAAACACAAAACGCAAACCCAAAACCCCUCCCUCUCACCUCCUCUCUUGAAAAAUUUUCUGAUGCAUUGAUCGCACAUCAUUUCCGUCUCUAAUGGCAGACCACUUGACCAAACUCUACCAAUCUCUCUUCGAAGAGAAGCUUCCUCCCGCCGAUCUCUUUCACAGACUCCGCUCUGAUAAUUCCAUCAAACAAGCUCUCCACCGCAUCUAUCUUAUCUUGAAACGCGCCCUUUCCACGAUCGAAACCGUCGAUGCUGCUCUUGUUACUACUAACAACAAAGAAAUUAAGUUAGGGUUCCAGUCAUGGACCGAUUUGCAGAUUCAGUCACUCAUCACCUUCGGUCUCGCCAUCGUGUCUGCUUCUAGAUCUCUGUCUGUGGAGCAAGCGGAGCCGAUCGUUAUUGCGGUUGUGCAGCAGUUGCUUGAGUUUGCCGUUUGUUAUUUGGAGAGGUCAGACUUCAGCAGCGAUGAUUCGAGUAAACAGGGUAAUGUGGUACUCCUGAUGGAAUUGGCAUUGGUUGAUGGAAUUGAUAAAGUAUCUGACCCAUCUCAGUCUUGCUCUGUAAAUAGUCUUCUAGAACUGUUGCCAAUGGAUUCUGGUGAUUGUUGCAGCACUGAGUUGGAGAGCCACAUAAAAUGUAGUCUUCAAGGUGUCAGUUGCUCAAUGGGAGAGAAACCAGUGGAUCAGCUAUUGAUGACUUUAGCAUCUGAAUGUGUUCAACCUGAGUGGCAGGCUCUUGGGUUCAGUGGUUCCAACCAAGAUUCGAACAACUUGAGUUUUUUAUCUCGGCAUUGGGCUGUUGUCCAUGUGGAUUGUACUCGUCGUCUACUUUUGUGCUUUAAAGAUCUUGUUGACUUGCCGUAUAUGCAUGAUGAGAAAAUGGGAGGUCCAGAUUUUUGCAGCAGAUUGUCCUUUGGUUUGAGGGUUUUAAAGUUACUCAGGAAUCUCAUGAAGGACAUUCCAUAUGUUGGAUAUGAUUCUUCACUGUUGCAAGAAGUUGCUUUAUGUGCAGAUGUGUUACCUAGCUUGUUUAAAAUCAGCUUUGAAUUUUCAAAUAACCAAGCUUUUGUUGAGGGUAGUGCAGACUGUCUCAUAUUGUUGCUGUUGGAGGAGUUUCUUCUUCUUGUCCAAGUUGUUUUCUGCAACAGCUGUGCGUUACAGAAUAUACAAGUGUGUAUAGUUGCUUCUGUAUUAGACAACUUGGGUUCCUCUAUAUGGAGAUACAACAAGUCUGCUGCUAAUCCAAAGCCUCCUCUAGUAUACUUCCCUCGAUCUGUUCUUCACAUCUUGAAACUCAUUCAGGAUCUCAGGAGGCAAACAUUUCAGGCUCUUGAUUUGAAGGGCUUCGAUACAGUUCUUAUUGGCAGCUCUACUGAUAUGCUAAAUAAUUAUCCGUUAUGCCAUGCACAUUCUGAGAAGGUUCCUUUGCUUAAAAAGUUUAAAAUUGAGGACUUGUUGAAAAUUAUAUUUUCCCCUUCGACCAAGUGGAUGGACAAUCUGAUGCAUCUUCUUUUUUUCCUUUACUGUGAAGGGGUAAAAUUAAGGCCAAAAGUGGAGAGAUCACAUUCUAGCUCUUUGAGAACUAAUUGCCCUUCAGAAGUGGAAAAUGUGGUUUGUCAUGACGAUGAAGCCCUUUUUGGGAACCUGUUCUAUGAGGGUGGUCGCUCAGUGGGAUCUACUGAUGGAAAUGAUCAGCCACCAGUAACUGUCAAUCCAUGCUCCACCAAUUGCAAUAUGCCAAUGCAAGCUGCCUCCGAAUUAUUGAGUUUUCUGAAGGAGUGUGUCUUUUCUCAUGAGUGGUCUCCUUUUCUUUUUGAGGAUGGCUGCAAAAGGCUAAGGGAGAACCACAUUGAUAUAUUGCUUUCUAUACUCAACUCUCAGGUCGUUUGUUCGGAAGACAAGUCCUCUGAUAGAUGUGCGGCUUCACAUGAAGAGAGAAAGAUUGGGCAUAUCUAUGAACUUUGCUUUGAGCUAUUGCACAACCUUCUUACUUGCCGUGCAUUGUCUGAAACUCUUGAAGAGUACCUUGUUGGGAAAAUUCUGAAUGUUGAAAAUAAUGCUUUUGUUUACAAUGAUCAGACUCUAACUUUGUUAUCUCACAUCCUUUGUUCUAGGGUGGAUUUGGCUGGUAGCCAGUUGAGAGUCAAAUUGUAUGAAAGAUUUGUGGGUUUCAUUGUUGAUAAGGCAAAAACUGUUUGUACAAAGUGUCCUAGUAGCAAGGAAUUUGUUGAGACUCUUCCAUCAGCGUUUCACAUCGAGAUUCUUCUAAUGGCAUUUCACUUGUCAUCGGAAGGAGAGAAGGCAACACUUGCAAACUUAAUAUUUUCUUCGCUCCGAACAGUUGAUGCUCCAUCUGCUGGCUUUUGUGCCACACAAUUGUCAUGCUGGGCUCUAAUAGUGUCAAGGUUGAUCCUACUGCUUCGUCAUAUGAUGUUUUAUGCACAUACUUGUCCUGCAUCACUGCUUUUAGAUUUCCGGUCAAAAUUGAGGGAAGCUCCAGUUUGUGGUUCACUUCCUCCUAAUAUCAUGAAUGAUCAAGUGUCAUCUUGGGCAUCAAUUGCAGUAAAAGUUGUAUUGAGUGAACGGGUGGAAGUGGAUCCUUCCAUCAGUGCCUUGACCAAUCAACUAAUUGAUAUUUCAGCUGUUCCUCCUUCACUUUGUAGAGAUGAAUCAACCAUUGAAUCAUUAUGCCUGAGUUGGAAUGAUAUAUGUGCAACCUUCUCAUGGAUUCUGGGGUUCUGGAAAGGCAAAAAUGCUGCAGCAGUAGAAGACCUUAUAGUUGAAAGAUAUAUGUUCUUGCUUUGUUUGGAUAUUCCAAUAAUGAGUUCUACACCAGACCAUCAGGUUUCAUUGUGGAGUGAGACACAGUCUAUUGACAUAACUAAUAUGAUGUAUUUCUUUCACUUCAGCCACUCGUUAAUAGCCCACUGUGAUAUUGGCAAGAGCAUGAAAAUUCCAGAUGUUGUACUUGGUGUGCUACAGCAUUUGUGUGCAUUGCACAUGUCAGAGGAUGUCAAGGAACUGGGCUGGGAUUUCUUGAGGAAUGGGUUUUGGUUGUCUCUGGUACUUUCCUUAUUUACUGUUGGGAUCAGCCAAUACUGCAUUAAGAAUAGAGUCCCUGGAGUGAGUCCGUUCUGGAUUGAGAAUACAGCUAGGGACAAUUUAUGUGUCACUGUUGCAGAAGGCCUGACUUCCUGCUUAAUUGAGGCUGGUCAAGUUCCAUUGCUGUUGAGGAUGUUAUCAUCUUUGCUGAACAGAUACUUACAGGUAUAUCAAAAGGCUUUCCUUACUACCCUUGGUGAUGGCCAGUGUAAUGCUAAUAGUUUUUCAUCACUGUUACUUCUCAAACACACUGGUUUUGAAAAAAGCCUUCAGGAUGAGUUCCUUAAGAAGAGUGGUGUCAGUUCAUAUCACCUGGAAUCUUAUUCUGAUUUAUUGUCAAAGUGGGAUGCUAUUGUGGACAAAAGGGCUCCUACAGUUCGAUGUAAAGUGCUUUGGGAAUGUAUGUUGCAUGGUUUUCCCUCUCAUCUUCAAACUCCAAGUGCUAUCCUUCUGUCUUGUAUUCUUAGCAUAAGAGGGAUACUAUCUGUUCUAGAUAGAUUGUUCAGACUAGAUGAUCUCAGAGAAAGUAUUUGCAAGGAGAGGGUUGUACUUUGCCAGAUUCUGAGUUCAGUAAUGAUAAUUAAAUUUGAUAGAAUCUUUGAAAGCAUUCAAGGAAAAUGUGAGGCUAUUGUUGGAAACCUGAGUUCUGGGUUUGCACUGUCAGAUUAUUCUGAUCUAUUUCUAAUGAAACACAUGGAAGGGUUUCUAAGAGAAAUCAAUGCCAGUGGUGAGCAUGAUAGCAGUACACUUGAAUGGGUAAUCACUAAGAUUAUUGAUACUGCAGAUAGCCUCAGGAAAGACCCAUUGAAAACUGCAAUCUUCAAAUUUUAUCUUGGUGUAGAAGAUGUGUCCAAACCAGACGAGUUCUAUGAGUUGCUACGUGGUGAUUUGUUAGUUCUAUUGGACUCUCUGGAUAAUUGUUCCUCAGAAUCAGUAAAUGGAAAGGUGCUUAAUUUCUUUGUUGAUCUCUUAUUAGGUGACUUUUGUCCAAAUCUCAAACAGAAGAUACAAAAAAAAUUUUUUGGGAUGGAUAUACUUCGUCUGUCCAAAUGGUUGGAGAAGCGGCUGUUAGGUUGUGUUGUGGAAGCUUCAGGUGGAGCUGGCUGUGUGAAGGGGAAUUCUGUUUUUCUCAGAGAAACAACUACAAGUUUUAUCUUGUCUCUUGUCUCCUCUGCUUCUGAAAUGAACUUGACAGAACUAAACAAUCAUUUGUUUGAAGCUGUGCUUGCUUCACUUGACACUGCAUUUUUGCUAUUUGAUGUUCAUAUUGCCAAGUCGUAUUUCCAAUUUGUUGUUCAACUUUCUAGAGGAGAAUAUUUAAUGAAAUUGCUUUUGACAAGGACUGUAAUGUUGAUGGAGAAGCUGGCUGUGGAUGAUCGCCUAUUUCCAGGGCUGAAAUUUCUAUUUGGCUUUUUUGGCAAUGUCUUGAGUGAUUCUGGGUCUUGUAAGAACGCCUUGGAGAAGACUUCAGGGAAAUCUUUAUCUGGCAGUAAUCUUGGCAAAGGUGCUGUUGCUUUAAAGCCAAUAGGAUCAAGGAAGAAUUCUGAUUCUGUGGUUCUUUCUGCAAGUCAAGAAGGGGAGUCUGCAGCUGUUGAAUGUGAUGCAACAUCUGUGGAUGAAGAUGAGGAUGAUGGAACAUCUGAUGGUGAGGUAGCUAGCAUAGAUAAGGAUGAGGAUGAUGAUGCUAACAGUGAAAGGACUCUUGCCUCAAAGGUUUGCACAUUUACAUCCAGUGGCAGCAAUUUUAUGGAACAACAUUGGUACUUCUGUUAUACUUGUGAUCUGACCGUAACAAAAGGAUGUUGCUCUGUGUGUGCAAAAGUCUGUCAUCAUGGUCAUCGUGUUGUUUAUUCUCGCUCAAGUCGAUUCUUUUGCGACUGUGGAGCUGGUGGUGUUAGGGGUAGCAAUUGCCAAUGCUUGAAGCCUCGAAAAUUCACUGGAAGCGACAGUGCACCCAUGCGCAGUGCUAGCAAUUUUCAAUCGUUUUUACCCUUCUCGGAGGAUGCAGAUCAGUUGCCAGAGAGUGAUUCUGAUCUGGAUGAGGAUCUCUCUUCAGAUACAGAUAACUUACUUAGGUUAUCUAUUCCAAGAGAGCUUCAAGUUGGGGUGACAGCAUUGCUUGAAGAACUUGAUGUUGAGGGUCGGAUGCUUCGACUUUGCUCUUCACUGCUGCCUUCUAUAACAAGCAAAAGAGGAUCAAAUCUUUCCAAAGAUAAGAAAAUAAUUCUAGGCAAGGACAAAGUGCUUUCUUACGGUGUUGAGCUGUUGCAGUUGAAAAAAGCUUAUAAAGGUGGGUCAUUAGACCUGAAAAUAAAGGCUGAUUAUCCAAAUGCCAAGGAGCUCAGAUCUCAUUUGGCUAGUGGUUCUCUUGUGAAAUCUUUGCUCAGUGUCAGUAACCGAGGUCGACUUGCUGUUGGAGAAGGUGACAAAGUUGCUAUUUUCGAUGUUGGGCAAUUAAUUUGUCAGGCCACCAAUGCACCAGUAACGGCAGACAAGACCAAUGUUAAACCUCUUUCAAGAAAUGUUGUUCGCUUUGAAAUUGUACAUCUUACUUUCAAUGCGGUAGUUGAGAAUUAUCUUGCUGUAGCAGGGUAUGAAGAUUGCCAGGUUCUUACUUUAAAUCCUCGUGGUGAAGUGACUGAUCGUCUUGCAAUUGAGCUGGCUUUGCAAGGUGCAUACAUCAGACAGAUUUGUUGGGUUCCAGGUUCCCAGGUGAAGUUAAUGGUGGUGACUAACAGGUUUAUCAAGAUAUAUGAUCUAUCUCAGGACAACAUUAGUCCUCUGCACUACAUCACGUUACCUGAUGAUGUAAUUGUUGACGCAACACUUCUUAUGGCUUCUCAGGGGAGAAUGUUUCUUAUUGUUCUUUCUGAGCAAGGGAGCCUUUUCAGAUUAGAAUUGUUUGUGGAGGGUAAUGUUGGGGCCACCCCAUUGAAGGAAAUUAUUCCGAUUCAGGACACAGAAAUUAAUGCAAAGGGAUCAUCUUUGUACUUCUCUUCCACUUACAAAUUACUGUUCAUAUCCUAUCAAGAUGGCACUACUUUGAUGGGUCAACUAAGCCUAGAUGCAACAUCUCUAACUGAGAUGUCUUUCGUAUAUGAGGAUGAACAAGAUGGCAAGAUGCGAUCAGCUGGUCUGCAUCGAUGGAGAGAAUUGCUGGCGGGCAGUGGGUUAUUUGUUUGUUUUUCCAGUGUGAAGUCAAAUGCUGCACUUGCUGUAUCCAUGGGACCUCAUGAAUUACAUGCACAGAGCAUGCGGCAUGCUGUAAGCUCAACCUCGCAUUUAGUUGGGUUAAUUGCUUACAAGCCUCUGUCCAAAGACAAGAUCCACUGUCUCAUUUUACAUGAUGAUGGAAGCCUUCAGAUAUACUUGCACAUCCCUGCAGGAUCUGAUGAUGGUGCAAGUUUGACUGCUGAGAAAGUAAAGAAUUUGGGUUCUGGCAUUCUCAAUAAUAAAGCUUAUGCUGGGAUAAAACCAGAAUUCCCUGUGGAUUUCUUCGAGAAAACAGUCUGCAUCACAGCUGAUGUAAAACUGGGUGGUGAUGCCAUUAGAAAUAGUGACUCUGAAGCUGCAAAACACAGCUUGACGUCAGAUGAUGGCUUUUUGGAAAGCCCCAGCGCUGCGGGCUUUAAGAUAUCUGUCUCCAAUUCAAAUCCUAAUAUUGUCAUGGUCGGUUUUCGUGUGCACGUGGGUAACACUUCAGCAAACCACAUUCCUUCUGAUAUUACCAUUUUUCAGAGGGUAAUUAAGUUAGAUGAAGGCAUGCGGUCCUGGUAUGAUAUUCCAUUUACUGUAGCUGAAUCGCUCCUUGCGGAUGAAGAAUUUGUGAUUUCUGUUGGGCCUACCUUCAAUGGCACUACAUUUCCCAGAAUUGACUCUCUUGAAGUAUAUGGUCGAGCUAAAGAUGAAUUUGGGUGGAAGGAGAAGAUGGAUGCUGUAUUGGAUAUAGAAGCUCGUGUACUUGGUUCCAAUUCUUUGCUUGGAGGAUCUGGGAAAAAGUGCCAGUCAGUGCAGUCUGCUCCUAUUCAGGAGCAGGUUGUAGCAGAUGGUCUCAAGCUUCUAUCCAGGUUAUAUUCAUUGUGUAGAUCCCAAGAUGAUGAUGUAAAAAUGGAGCCGAGUGAACUCAAGUGCAAGCCACUGUUAGAAACAAUAUUUGAAAGUGACAGAGAGCCCUUGUUACAGGCUGCUGCUUGCCGUGUUUUGCAGUCUGUUUUCCCUAAGAAAGAGAGAUAUUGCCAGGUUAAAGAUGCUAUGCGCCUUCAUGGGGUGGUUAAAUCAACCUCAAUGCUAUCGUCAAGGCUAGGAGCUGGUGAAACUACAGGAGGGUGGAUGGUUGAAGAAUUUACUGCUCAGAUGCGUGCUGUAUCUAAGAUCGCAUUGCACCGUCGUUCUAAUUUAGCCCUUUUUCUUGAGAUGAACGGUUCUGAAGUGGUGGAUGGACUCAUGCAAGUUCUAUGGAGAAUUUUGGAGUUUGAGCAACCGGACACUCAAACUAUGAACAACAUUGUUAUAUCUUCUGUGGAGCUUAUUUAUUGUUAUGCUGAAUGUCUGGCUUUACAUGGAAAAGACACAGUGGGACGCACUGUUGCUCCUGCUGUUGUAUUGUUAAAGAAACUUCUGUUCUCUUCCAAUGAGGCUGUUCAAACUUCCAGCAGCCUUGCUAUAUCAUCAAGAUUACUCCAGGUUCCAUUCCCGAAGCAAACAAUGUUAGCAACAGAUGAUGCUGUGGAUAGUGCUGUUUCAGCUUCUGGUUCUGCCGAGGCAACUAGUGGAAACACACAAGUCAUGAUUGAAGAAGAUUCUAUUACAUCAUCUGUUCAAUAUUGUUGUGAUGGAUGCUCCACCGUUCCUAUACUCAGGCGAAGAUGGCAUUGUACCGUCUGUCCUGAUUUUGACUUAUGUGAGGCUUGUUAUCAAGAAUUAGACGCAGAUCGGCUCCCACCACCCCAUUCUAGGGAUCAUCCUAUGACAGCUAUUCCAAUUGAAGUGGAAUCAUUAGGAGGAGAAGGCAAUGAAAUUCAUUUCUCCACUGAUGAUGCAAAUGAUUCAAACUUGAUGCCAAUCACUGCAGAUGUGAGUGUGCAGAACUCUGCUCCUUCCAUUCAUGUCUUGGAAUCUGGAGAGUACUCUGCCUCGGUGGCUGAUACAGUCUCUAUUUCUGCUUCAAAACGAGCUGUGAAUUCCUUGCUUCUCUCUGAACUUCUUGAACAGUUGAAGGGAUGGAUGCAGACCACCACUGGUGUUCGUGCUAUCCCUAUCAUGCAGUUGUUCUAUAGAUUAUCAUCUGCUGUGGGUGGACCUUUCAUAGAUAGCUUUAAGCCUGAGGCCUUGGAUUUAGAGAAAUUGAUUCAGUGGUUUUUGGUUGAAAUUGAUCUCAAUAAACCUUUUGUUGCCAAAACCCGUUCUUCUUUUGGGGAAGUUGCAAUCCUUGUUUUCAUGUUCUUCACUUUGAUGCUCCGAAAUUGGCACCAGCCUGGUAGUGAUGGUUCUAUUCCAAAAUCAAGUGGACCUGCAGACUCGCAUGAUAAGAAUGUUAUCCAGGUUAGCUCAGUUGCCUCUCAGUCUUCCUUGGAUGGUCAAGAGAAAAAUGACUUUACAUCACAGCUGCUUCGAGCUUGCAACACUCUCAGGAAUCAAGCAUUUGUUAAUUAUCUGAUGGAUAUUCUGCGGCAGCUAGUGGAUGUUUUUAAGUCCCCUAAUGCUAAUUUUGAAGCCACACAUGGUAUGCAUGCUGGUUCUGGAUGUGGGGCUCUAUUAACAGUUAGGAGAGAUUUACCAGCUGGUAAUUUCUCUCCAUUUUUUUCAGAUUCAUAUGCAAAAGCCCAUCGAGUUGAUAUUUUUAUGGACUACCAUAGGCUAUUAUUGGAGAAUGCUUUCCGACUGGCAUACACUUUGGUUAGACCAGAAAAGCAAGACAAGACUGGGGAGAAGGAGAAGUUGUACAAGAUUUCUUCAGGGAAAGAUUUGAAAUUAGAUGGAUAUCAGGAUGACCUUUGUAGUUACAUAAAUAAUCCUCAUACUACAUUUGUAAGAAGAUAUGCAAGGAGGUUGUUUCUGCAUCUUUGUGGAAGUAAAACUCACUAUUAUAGUGUUAGAGACUCUUGGCAAUUCUCCACUGAGAUGAAGAAACUUUACAAACACACAAAUAAAUCUGGUGGCCUUCAAAAUCCUGUGCCUUAUGAGAGAAGUGUGAAGAUAGUGAAGUGCUUAUCGACAAUGGCUGAGGUGGCUGCUGCACGGCCUCGAAAUUGGCAGAAAUAUUGUUCUAGGCAUGGAGAUGUUUUCCCCUUCUUGAUGAAUGCAGUGUUUUACUUUGGUGAAGAGUCCGUUAUUCAGACUCUCAAACUUUUAAAUUUGGCCUUCUAUUCAGGAAAGGAUAUGACCCAAUCCUUGCAGAAACUUGAAGUGGGGGAGUCAGGGACAAGUUCAAACAAAUCAGGGGCACAGUCAUUAGAUUCAAAGAAGAAGAAGAAAGGCGAAGUGGGAACUGAAUCUGGGUUGGAGAAAUCUUAUAUGGACAUGGAGUCUGCUGUUGAUAUCUUUACUGACAAGGGCGGUGAUGUUUUGAGGCAAUUUGUUGACUGCUUUUUACUGGAAUGGAAUUCAAGCUCUGUGCGCACAGAAGCUAAAUUUGUUCUUUAUGGUGCAUGGCAUCAUGGGAAACAUUCAUUUAAGGAAACAAUGUUAAUGACUUGCUUGCAGAAAGUGAAAAACCUGCCAAUGUAUGGUCAGAACAUUGUUGAGUUCACUGACUUGGUCACUUGGUUACUGGGGAAAGUCCCUGAUUCUAGUUCAAAGCAGCAGACCACUGAACUUGUGGAUCGUUGCUUGACCCCUGAUGUAAUUAGGUGCAUCUUUGAGACACUUCAUUCACAAAAUGAGCUUAUUGCUAAUCAUCCAAAUUCUCGCAUAUAUAAUACUUUGAGUGGUAUUGUGGAAUUUGAUGGUUACUAUCUGGAGAGUGAACCUUGUGUUGCCUGCAGCUCUCCUGAGGUACCUUAUAGCAAGAUGAAGCUAGAAAGCUUGAAGUCUGAGACUAAGUUCACUGACAAUCGCAUCAUAGUGAAGUGUACUGGAAGUUACACCAUCCAAACCGUGACAAUGAAUGUUCAUGAUGCACGCAAGUCCAAAUCUGUGAAAGUUUUGAAUCUGUAUUACAACAAUCGGCCUGUGGCUGACUUGUCAGAGUUGAAAAACAAUUGGUCCUUGUGGAAGCGUGCUAAGAGUUGUCAUCUUGCUUUCAACCAGACUGAGCUAAAAGUGGAGUUUCCUAUUCCAAUCACUGCUUGUAACUUCAUGAUUGAACUAGAUUCUUUCUAUGAAAAUCUUCAGGCUCUAUCGCUUGAACCAUUGCAAUGCCCGCGUUGCAGUCGACCUGUCACUGAUAGGCAUGGAAUUUGCAGCAAUUGCCAUGAGAAUGCAUAUCAGUGCAGGCAAUGCCGCAACAUAAAUUAUGAGAAUUUAGAUUCUUUCCUGUGCAAUGAGUGUGGGUUCAGCAAAUAUGGCCGUUUCGAGUUUAACUUCAUGGCUAAGCCUAGUUUUACAUUUGACAACAUGGAGAAUGAUGAUGAUAUGAAGAGGGGAUUGGCUGCCAUUGAAUCAGAAUCAGAAAAUGCUCAUAGGAGAUACCAGCAACUUUUGGGCUUUAAAAAGCCCCUUCUUAAGAUUGUGUUGAGCAUUGGUGAGAAUGAAAUGGAUUCACAGCAGAAGGACUCCAUCCAGCAAAUGAUGGUCUCUCUGCCUGGACCUUCAUGUAAGAUAAACAGAAAGAUUGCUCUUCUUGGUGUCUUGUAUGGUGAAAAGUGCAAAGCUGCUUUUGAUUCUGUCAGCAAAAGUGUUCAGACAUUGCAGGGCCUUCGUCGGGUUUUGAUGAGUUACUUGCACCAGAAACAUUCAGAUGAUGCAAUUGCAGCAUCCAGAUUUGUGUUUUCCAGGUCUCCAAAUAAUUGCUAUGGCUGUGCAACUACAUUUGUAACACAGUGUUUGGAGAUGUUGCAGGUUCUUUCAAAGCAUCCUAAUUCAAAGAAACAACUUGUUGCAGCUGGCAUCUUAUCUGAGUUGUUUGAAAAUAAUAUUCAUCAAGGUCCUAAAACAACUCGUGUCCAAUCAAGGGCAGUACUUUGUGCUUUCUCUGAAGGUGAUAUAACUGCAAUAACUGAGUUGAACAGUUUAAUACAGAAGAAAGUCAUGUACUGUCUUGAACAUCAUCGCUCGAUGGACAUUGCCCUUGCCACUCGUGAGGAGCUUUUACUGCUUUCAGAAGUGUGUUCCUUGGCUGAUGAGUUCUGGGAAUCAAGAUUGCGUGUUGUUUUCCAGCUGUUAUUUUCAUCCAUCAAAUUGGGUGCAAAACAUCCUGCAAUAGCUGAGCAUAUAAUUCUUCCUUGUCUGAGAAUCAUAUCUCAGGCAUGCACUCCUCCAAAACCAGAUACAGUAGACAAAGAGCAGGGUAUUGGAAAAUCUGCUUCUGCGGGACAGCUAAAGGAUGAAAACAACUCGAAUACAUCUGGAUCUUUUGGUGGAGUUGUCGAUGGAAUUAAGUUAACACCAGAACCUUUGGAAAAAAAUUGGGAUGCUUCUCACAGGACUCAGGAUAUUCAAUUGCUGAGUUAUUCUGAGUGGGAGAAGGGAGCAUCAUACAUUGAUUUUGUAAGAAGGCAGUACAAAGUGUCUCAAGCAAUCAAAGGGGCUGGCCAGAGAUCUCGGCCCCAGAGACAUGAAUACCUGGCUCUCAAAUAUGCUCUCAGGUGGAGAAGGCGUGCUUGUAAGACAUCUAAGGGUGAUUUAUCCACAUUUGAGCUUGGGUCUUGGGUGACAGAACUUGUUUUGAGUGCUUGCUCCCAAUCUAUUAGGUCAGAGAUGUGCAUGCUGAUUAGUUUACUUUGUACCCAGAGUUCAUCAAGACGGUUUCGGUUGUUAAACUUACUUAUGGCUUUGCUACCUGCAACCCUGGCUGCUGGUGAAAGUGCAGCUGAAUACUUUGAAUUGCUGUUCAAGAUGAUUGAUUCAGAAGAUGCUCGUCUCUUCUUGACUGUGCGGGGAUGUCUAACUACAAUAUGUAAACUCAUUACUCAAGAAGUUGGUAGUGUUGAAUCUUUUGAAAGGAGUCUACAUAUUGAUAUUUCACAAGGAUUCAUUCUUCACAAGCUUAUUGAACUCCUUGGCAAAUUUUUAGAGGUUCCCAAUGUUAGAUCCAGAUUUAUGCGAGACAAUUUGCUGUCUGAUAUCCUUGAGGCUCUUAUUGUCAUUCGUGGCUUAGUAGUACAGAAGACAAAGUUGAUCAGUGAUUGCAAUCGCCUUCUAAAUGAUCUUUUAGACAGUCUUCUGCUUGAAAGUAGUGAAAAUAAACGACAGUUUAUCCGAGCUUGUAUUUGUGGGCUACAAAUCCAUGGAGAGGAGAGAAAAGGACGAACUUGUUUGUUUAUUCUGGAGCAGCUUUGCAAUUUGAUCUGCCCAUCAAAACCAGAGUCCGUAUAUUUGUUGGUUCUAAAUAAGGCACACACACAGGAAGAAUUUAUCAGAGGAUCAAUGACGAAAAAUCCAUAUUCCAGUGCUGAGAUUGGUCCUCUGAUGCGUGAUGUGAAAAACAAAAUUUGCCAUCAAUUGGAACUGGUAGGCCUUCUUGAAGAUGACUAUGGCAUGGAGUUGUUGGUAGCUGGGAAUAUUAUCUCUCUUGAUUUGAGCAUUGCUCAAGUUUAUGAGCAAGUCUGGAAGAAGUCAAAUGGUCAAGCUUCAAAUGCAAUGGCCAAUUCUACCUUGUUAUCCUCAAGUGGCAUGACAUCAGCCAGAGAUUGCCCACCUAUGACAGUGACUUACAGGCUUCAGGGAUUAGAUGGUGAAGCUACUG